UACGGAGGAGGCAAGCGUUAUCCGGAAUUAUUGGGCGUAAAGCGCGCGCAGGCGGUUUCUUAAGUCUGAUGUGAAAGCCCCCGGCUCAACCGGGGAGGGUCAUUGGAAACUGGGAAACUUGAGUGCAGAAGAGGAAAGUGGAAUUCCAAGUGUAGCGGUGAAAUGCGUAGAGAUUUGGAGGAACACCAGUGGCGAAGGCGACUUUCUGGUCUGUAACUGACGCUGAGGCGCGAAAGCGUGGGGAGCAAACAGG
Molecule: ribosomal RNA, 253 nt
Filed under: uncultured bacterium
Lineage: Bacteria
Description: partial 16S ribosomal RNA
Rfam family: Bacterial small subunit ribosomal RNA
Source: RNAcentral